GAUGAAGAACGUAGCGAAAUGCGAUACGUAGUGUGAAUUGCAGAAUUCAGUGAAUCAUCGAAUCUUUGAACGCACAUUGCACCUCUCGGUAUUCCGGGAGGUAUGCCUGUUCGAGCGUCAUUUGUACCCUCAAGCUCUGCUUGGUGUUGGGUGUUUGUUCCGCCUCUGUGUGUGAACUCGCCUCAAAACAAUUGGCAGCCGGCGUACUUGUUUCGGAGCGCAGCACAUUUUGCGAUCCAGAUCAACGUACAGCGGCAUCCAAGAAGCCUUAUUUAACGCUCUUGACCUCGGAUCAGGUAGGGAUACCCGCUGAACUUAAGCAUAUCAUUAAGCGGAGGA
This 339-nucleotide unclassified non-coding RNA is filed under the name soil metagenome. Its description in RNAcentral is "partial contains 5.8S ribosomal RNA, internal transcribed spacer 2, and large subunit ribosomal RNA". The stretch from base 1 to 120 matches the Rfam family "5.8S ribosomal RNA", at positions 35 to 154 of the family's 154-position model. The record is from RNAcentral.